AAGAUUCUAGUAAAAUAUAUUACACUGCCUCGUCAAGGCAAAACUGUGAGUUUAAAUCCCACGAAUCUUA
RNAcentral lists this transfer RNA (70 nucleotides) under Pseudocarcharias kamoharai. Its description in RNAcentral is "tRNA-Asp". It matches the Rfam family "tRNA". Rfam says of the family: Transfer RNA (tRNA) molecules are approximately 80 nucleotides in length. Their secondary structure includes four short double-helical elements and three loops (D, anti-codon, and T loops). Further hydrogen bonds mediate the characteristic L-shaped molecular structure. tRNAs have two regions of fundamental functional importance: the anti-codon, which is responsible for specific mRNA codon recognition, and the 3' end, to which the tRNAs corresponding amino acid is attached (by aminoacyl-tRNA synthetases). tRNAs cope with the degeneracy of the genetic code in two manners: having more than one tRNA (with a specific anti-codon) for a particular amino acid; and 'wobble' base-pairing, i.e. permitting non-standard base-pairing at the 3rd anti-codon position. Lineage: Eukaryota; Metazoa; Chordata; Chondrichthyes; Lamniformes; Pseudocarchariidae. The record is from RNAcentral.